GGCGGUAUAGCUCAGUUGGUUAGAGCGAGGGAUUCAUAAGCCCUAGGUCCCAGGUUCGAAUCCUGGUGCCGCCA
RNAcentral lists this transfer RNA (74 nucleotides) under Planctomycetota bacterium. RNAcentral's name for it is "Planctomycetes bacterium (bioreactor metagenome) tRNA-Met". It matches the Rfam family "tRNA". Rfam says of the family: Transfer RNA (tRNA) molecules are approximately 80 nucleotides in length. Their secondary structure includes four short double-helical elements and three loops (D, anti-codon, and T loops). The record is from RNAcentral. Lineage: Bacteria; Pseudomonadati; Planctomycetota.